GCCAGGCAGCGCGUGGGGCGAGCGCGGGGAGAGCGGCGGCGGCUCGCCCAGGUCGCGCAGCGGAGGCCGAGCGGGGUGCGCGGUCGGCGACGGAGGGCGGCGCGCGCGAGUGAGCGGCGCAGGGCGAGGACCGGCGGGCGGGUGCCGGUGCGCGGGCAGCAGGGGCGGCUGCGGCAGCAGCUGCGCGGGACGGAGCCGCGGCGGGAGAGACCGCGCCGGCCCCUCGCCUCACCCCCUUGCGGCCGAGGCCGGAGAACAGUCUCCAACUCGCCGGGGGACCGGAAAGAGGAGCCGAGAAGCGCCCCUCGGCCCCCACGCAGCGGAGGCGCGGAGUGGCGGGACUGCUGCUCUUUGUGGGUGCAGCACGCACGACCCGGAGCGCCCUCCCCGCGGCGCUGUCCCCGGCGUCUUCGUCGCGCCGAGCGGCCCUGGAGCGGGGACCCGGAGGAAGCAAAACCACGAGCCCGAAACCUCGCGUGGCGGAGCUCUUGGGGAGCGCCAUCCGCUCCACUUCCACCUCCACAUCCUCCACCGGCCAAGGUCCCCGCCGCUGCAUCCCUCGCGGCUUCCGCUGCGCUCCGGGCCGGAGCCGAGCCGCCUGCGCUGCCACAGCAGCCGCCUCCACACACUCGCAGACGCUCACACGCUCUCCCUCCCUGUUCCCCCGCCCCCUCCCCAGCUCCUUGAUCUCUGGGUCUGUUUUAUUACUCCUGGUGCGAGUCCCGCGGACUCCGCGGCCCGCUAUUUGUCAUCAGCUCGCUCUCCAUUGGCGGGGAGCGGAGAGCAGCGAAGAAGGGGGUGGGGAGGGGAGGGGAAGGGAAGGGGGUGGAAACUGCCUGGAGCCGUUUCUCCGCGCCGCUGUUGGUGCUGCCGCUGCCUCCUCCUCCUCCGCCGCCGCCGCCGCCGCCGCCGCCUCCUCCGGCUCUUCGCUCGGCCCCUCUCCGCCUCCAUGUGCCGGAUAGCGGGAGCGCUGCGGACCCUGCUGCCGCUGCUGGCGGCCCUGCUUCAGGCGUCUGUAGAGGCUUCUGGUGAAAUCGCAUUAUGCAAGACUGGAUUUCCUGAAGAUGUUUACAGUGCAGUCUUAUCGAAGGAUGUGCAUGAAGGACAGCCUCUUCUCAAUGGUACUAUCUCAAAAGAUAUAUUUGUACAUGCAGUGUCCAUGCUCAUGAAACAAAUUAGCCAUUAAAAAAGCCUAAAUCAUUUCUACUGUAUAACAAGUAUGAAUUUUUCACAAUCACUAUGAUGAGACUGUAGGGACUUUAUUUUAGGAUUACAGAAGAGCUUAUGAAUCUCUUAUAUACAUAAUUUGAAGGCUCCUGAUCUCUUGAAAUCGUCAGAUUUCUUCCAUUUUUAAUUUACAGAGAAACCGUUAUGUAACUGAUUAUUACCAUUUUUGUGUAUACAUUUUAUUUAAAGAAUAAUAUUUUGAAGAAUAUGAAACAUCUAGUUCUAAUGGCUUUAAAAUUUACUUACAGCAAAAAAUUACUUAGUAUUUUGAAUUAAA
This 1504-nucleotide long non-coding RNA is filed under the name Homo sapiens (human). Its description in RNAcentral is "HSALNT0249327". Lineage: Eukaryota; Metazoa; Chordata; Mammalia; Primates; Hominidae. The record is from RNAcentral.